This 597-nucleotide ribosomal RNA is filed under the name Pseudetroplus maculatus (orange chromide). RNAcentral's name for it is "partial large subunit ribosomal RNA". It matches the Rfam family "Bacterial large subunit ribosomal RNA", at positions 1826 to 2630 of the family's 2925-position model. The record is from RNAcentral. Lineage: Eukaryota; Metazoa; Chordata; Actinopteri; Cichliformes; Cichlidae.
CCGUGUCUCCAUGAUAGAGGUCUCGCCUGCCCUGUGCACCAUGUAGUUUAGCGGCGGCGGUAUUUUGACCGUGCAAAGGUAGCGCAAUCACUUGUCUUUUAAAUGAAAACCUGUAUGAAUGGCAUAACGAGGGCUUAACUGUCUCCCUUUUCCAGUCAGAGAAAGUGAUCUCCCCGUGCAGAAGCGGGGAUUAAAACAUAAGACGAGAAGACCCUAUGGAGCUUUAGACAAAGAGCAGACCAUGUUAAACACACCUAAAUAAAGGACAAAACCAAUUGGCCCCUGCCCUUAUGUCUUUGGUUGGGGCGACCGCGGGGAAACAAAAAACCCCCAUGUGGACUGAAGACAUUCCUCUUCACAACCAAGAGCCACAGCUCUAAGCAACAGAACAUCUGACCAACAAGAUCCGGCACUAAGCCGAUCAACGGACCGAGUUACCCUAGGGAUAACAGCGCAAUCUCCUUUUAAAGCCCCCAUCGACAAGGAGGUUUACGACCUCGAUGUUGGAUCAGGACAUCCUAAUGGUGCAGCCGCUAUUAAGGGUUCGUUUGUUCAACGAUUAAAGUCCUACGUGAUCUGAGUUCAGACCGGAGGAGG